Molecule: non-coding RNA, 22 nt
Filed under: Arabidopsis thaliana (thale cress)
Lineage: Eukaryota; Viridiplantae; Streptophyta; Magnoliopsida; Brassicales; Brassicaceae
Source: RNAcentral
CGGAUAAUACAAUCAAUCACAU